RNAcentral lists this ribosomal RNA (502 nucleotides) under uncultured bacterium. Its description in RNAcentral is "bacterial SSU rRNA". It matches the Rfam family "Bacterial small subunit ribosomal RNA", at positions 28 to 531 of the family's 1533-position model. The record is from RNAcentral.
GAUGAACGCUGGCGGCGUGCCUAACACAUGCAAGUCGAGCGUGAACCCUGCGAAUGAAACUUCGGUCGAUUUUGCAGGGGGAAAGCGGCGGACGGGUGAGUAACGCGUAGGUAACCUGCCCCAUACUGAGGGAUAGCCUCGGGAAACCGGGAUUAAUACCUCAUAACACCGUAUAUUCGCAUGGAUGUGCGGUCAAAGAUUUAUCGGUAUGGGAUGGGCCUGCGUCUGAUUAGCUGGUUGGUGGGUAACGGCCUACCAAGGCGACGAUCAGUAGCCGACCUGAGAGGGUGAUCGGCCACGUUGGAACUGAGACACGGUCCAAACUCCUACGGGAGGCAGCAGUGGGGAAUAUUGCACAAUGGGCGAAAGCCUGAUGCAGCAACGCCGCGUGAGCGAAGAAGGCCUUUGGGCGUAAAGCUCUGUCGGGUAGGAAGAUAAUGACGGUACUACCCGAGGAAGCCCCGGCUAACUACGUGCCAGCAGCCGCGGUAAAAGUACUCUU